AGUGAACGCUGGCGGUAGGCCUAACACAUGCAAGUCGAACGGCAGCACAGUAAGAGCUUGCUCUUACGGGUGGCGAGUGGCGGACGGGUGAGGAAUACAUCGGAAUCUACUUUUUCGUGGGGGAUAAUGUAGGGAAACUUACGCUAAUACCGCAUACGACCUACGGGUGAAAGCAGGGGAUCUUCGGACCUUGCGCGAUUGAAUGAGCCGAUGUCGGAUUAGCUAGUUGGCGGGGUAAAGGCCCACCAAGGCGACGAUCCGUAGCUGGUCUGAGAGGAUGAUCAGCCACACUGGAACUGAGACACGGUCCAGACUCCUACGGGAGGCGGCAGUGGGGAAUAUUGGACAAUGGGCGCAAGCCUGAUCCAGCCAUACCGCGUGGGUGAAGAAGGCCUUCGGGUUGUAAAGCCCUUUGUUGGGAAAGAAAAGCAGCAGGUUAAUACCCCGCUGUUCUUACGGUACCCAAAGAAUAAGCACCGGCUAACUUCGUG
Molecule: ribosomal RNA, 491 nt
Filed under: uncultured bacterium
Lineage: Bacteria
Description: partial 16S ribosomal RNA
Rfam family: Bacterial small subunit ribosomal RNA
Source: RNAcentral